UACGUAGGGUGCAAGCGUUAAUCGGAAUUACUGGGCGUAAAGCGUGCGCAGGCGGUAAUGCAAGACAGAUGUGAAAUCCCCGGGCUCAACCUGGGAACUGCAUUUGUGACUGCAUUGCUGGAGUGCGGCAGAGGGGGAUGGAAUUCCGCGUGUAGCAGUGAAAUGCGUAGAGAUGCGGAGGAACACCGAUGGCGAAGGCAGCCCCCUGGGCUAGCACUGACGCUCAGGCACGAAAGCGUGGGGAGCAAACAGG
This 253-nucleotide ribosomal RNA is filed under the name uncultured bacterium. Its description in RNAcentral is "partial 16S ribosomal RNA". It matches the Rfam family "Bacterial small subunit ribosomal RNA", at positions 524 to 776 of the family's 1533-position model. The record is from RNAcentral.